Molecule: ribosomal RNA, 253 nt
Filed under: uncultured bacterium
Lineage: Bacteria
Description: partial 16S ribosomal RNA
Rfam family: Bacterial small subunit ribosomal RNA
Source: RNAcentral
UACGUAGGUGGCAAGCGUUGUCCGGAAUUAUUGGGCGUAAAGCGCGCGCAGGUGGUUUCUUAAGUCUGAUGUGAAAGCCCACGGUUCAACCGUGGAGGGUCAUUGGAAACUGGGGAACUUGAGUGCAGAAGAGGAAAGUGGAAUUCCAAGUGUAGCGGUGAAAUGCGUAGAGAUUUGGAGGAACACCAGUGGCGAAGGCGACUUUCUGGUCUGUAACUGACACUGAGGCGCGAAAGCGUGGGGAGCGAACAGG